RNAcentral lists this small nuclear RNA (301 nucleotides) under Sorex araneus (European shrew). RNAcentral describes it as "7SK RNA (ENSSARG00000019585.1)". It matches the Rfam family "7SK RNA". From Rfam's summary of the family: 7SK was discovered as an abundant small nuclear RNA in the mid-70s but a possible function has only recently been suggested. Two independent studies have found that 7SK RNA binds the CDK9/cyclin T complex (known as elongation factor P-TEFb). Lineage: Eukaryota; Metazoa; Chordata; Mammalia; Eulipotyphla; Soricidae. The record is from RNAcentral.
GUCAGGGCUAUCUGGCUGCGACAUCUGUCACCCCAUUGAUCACCAGAGUUGAUUUGGCUAAUCUGGCUGGCUAGGCGGGUGUCUCCUUCCUACCUCACCACUCCAUGUGCAUCCGUCCUGAAGCUACGUGCUCCAUUGAAGAGGACAGUCUUCCCUGAAUAGAGAUGGACUGAUCUUGGGUCGAAGGUAUACAAGUAGCCGCACUCCCCUGCUAGAACCUCCAAACAAGCUCUAGAGAAAAAUUAAGAUAGUUUAUUAUUAAUUUAAACUAUAUUCAGUAUAGUCUUAAUUUCUAGUUUAU